Molecule: transfer RNA, 91 nt
Filed under: Bacteroides sp. CAG:545
Lineage: Bacteria; Pseudomonadati; Bacteroidota; Bacteroidia; Bacteroidales; Bacteroidaceae
Description: transfer RNA-Ser(GGA)
Rfam family: tRNA
About the family: Transfer RNA (tRNA) molecules are approximately 80 nucleotides in length. Their secondary structure includes four short double-helical elements and three loops (D, anti-codon, and T loops). Further hydrogen bonds mediate the characteristic L-shaped molecular structure. tRNAs have two regions of fundamental functional importance: the anti-codon, which is responsible for specific mRNA codon recognition, and the 3' end, to which the tRNAs corresponding amino acid is attached (by aminoacyl-tRNA synthetases). tRNAs cope with the degeneracy of the genetic code in two manners: having more than one tRNA (with a specific anti-codon) for a particular amino acid; and 'wobble' base-pairing, i.e. permitting non-standard base-pairing at the 3rd anti-codon position.
Source: RNAcentral
GGAGAGAUGCUCGAGUGGCUUAAGAGGCACGCCUGGAAAGCGUGUAUACUCCAAAAGGGUAUCAGGAGUUCGAAUCUCCUUCUCUCCGCAA